Molecule: ribosomal RNA, 5357 nt
Filed under: Triticum aestivum (bread wheat)
Lineage: Eukaryota; Viridiplantae; Streptophyta; Magnoliopsida; Poales; Poaceae
Description: partial small subunit ribosomal RNA
Source: RNAcentral
CUUUGUGAAUGAGUGCAUUAUGGAGGGAGGCACUUCUAGAGAGCAAAGGAAGGGGUCCUUCCAAAGGUUGUGUUCGCUGGGGGCGGGGAAAGGACGACGAGGCGGCGGCGGAUAAAGAGACGGUUUAGGUGGGGCGCGGCGACGGGCACAGGCACGGGAGAAGUAGAGGCCAGGGCGCGAGGUAGAGGAGGUCGGAGUAUAGGGGGCUAGAAGAGCUAAACCUAGAGCCCUCGCGUGCCCUCCCUCCGCUCCACGGACAACGACCCUCUCCCCGCUACUCCUCAUAGCCGGGAACCUAGAAAGGCAGAGCGCUCCGGUCCGGAGGGCAGGCACCGCGCUGCGGCGGCCGUACCUCCGGGGCCGAGCCCGUCGGCGGCGUCACAGCCCACGCGGCCACUCCAGAGCCCAUGCGCGCUACCCGCACUGGAGAGGACCGAGGGGCGGGAGCAGGCGCUGUUGUUCCUGGUUCUACGUAAAUGCCACAACAGACCACGCGGCAGUCCAAACCAACCAGCUCCGGUCCAUACAAGGACUCCGACAAACUACCUACCUACACACGUGCAUACAUACAUGAGGGAGGCAAGGACUUAUAAACAGAAAGAUCUGUAAAGUUGUUCACUGAUGUGUGCCUCGUUUUACUCACUUAGAUGUGAGAUUUUAUACAGAUGUAUGUAGGCAUACACCAUCAGUAAACUUUACAGAUCUUUCUGUUUAUAAAUCCUUGCCUCUCUCAUACAUCAUACAUGCAUACCUAUAGACCCAGUACAACGACCCACCCGUUUCUGCCCCCAUGUUGGAGGAAAAGUCAAUUUUUACUCCCCGCUACUACUGCUGAGACCGACUUUAUUCGUACAGAACUCGUUAGUUCUAACAACACCGGACCCAUGAUUUAAUCUCGGGUGGAAAUGGAGAACGUCGGACAAGUUAAGUAGCUUUUACAACCUACAAGACGCGGAGCCGACCAGUAAGACUGCUCACUAUUGGUCCCGUCAAGCAAAUGUAACGCUAUCCAUACAAUACGUCGUUCUCUAGAUUCACAACCCGAACUUCUAGUUUCUGCCUUGACUCGGGAGAAAACGAUACGAUGUUUAUGUGUUUAAAAGGAAUAGAUGAUAUGUCACAAGAAGAAAGUCAAGAUAAAGAGAUAAGACAACUACACUCACUUCUAGAUAGACUUGAACCCUAAAUACAGAAGAAAACCACUACUUGAGUUGGUGGGAUUCGGAUGUACCUAACUAGAUAUCAACCCAAACAAAACGGAAAGAUCAACAUAUAUGAUAUACAUAAUGUGCUGACAGUAAAAAGAGGUUACGGACAUCGAUGACCGUCAAAAUAAGGACACCAAUUGUUGUAUGACAACAGGACAAACAGAACAAUCAUUCGUACAAUCGAAAACGGUCUACGAAGAAGUUUCUGCUUGAAGCUAGGAGGUGCCCUAACGUUUCUCAACAGUAAUUGUGUCUAACGGAUUUACACGAUAGAUAAAACCAGUCUCGUCUGGGAAACAAUACUGGGAGAAACGAUAAAUCAAGUGACCAGUAGUUAGAGAAAAAUUCAACGACGACAGUUAUAAUUGACGGUGUAACUAAUAAUCUUAGUGUACUACGUAAUCACGCCAUGUCUAGGGAGUGUCCAACAAAUUUUACUCUCACAGUUCAUUUAAAUAGUCGACCUUUAAAAAAACCCAAUUUUUACAAGAAUAUAAAAAAGAUUAGUACUUACUUUCAGGAGAACCUCGAAAACGAACCCGGUAAACCCUAAACAUACAACGGUAAAGGGGGGAAGUGUAAUAUACAAAAUUUUAAAUAAAUCACCAGAACGAAACCAAAAACAAAAGUAAAACGGUUUCUAACGUGAUACCUUUGGUAGGAGACAGAGAGAUAGUUAUGGUGACAGAAACAGUGGUAGAAGCUUGUAGUGCCGUAAUUAAACUAAACUAUGGAGUAUAAGAAAUGAAGUGUGAGAAUCAUUAAGGAAUAAGCAUUUAUAACAAAGAUUUCAACGUAUAGAGACACUAGUAUCUGUAGGCUACCAAGGUGUAAAAGAACCAUUCACAUCAGUUAGUUUUCUUGUUUUACGUGAUUUAAUGAUCUCCGGAAGGAUAAAUAUGUAAUAUAGAUACCAUAACUAAUAGAUACGAAAUACGAGACGGGUACCGGCCCGCCAAAGUCACUAAGAGGAGACAACGUCGUUCGGUAGUGAUGUUGAAAUACUAAUACUACAUAUAUAUACGCGUUUAUACAAAGACAAAAAUGUAACUAUUUUGUACACAAAUCAACAUGACCGGUUCUUAUCAAGAUACUAAGUACGAAUAUCAAAUGACAUUGAUGAAGAUGACUACCGAAUAUAAAAAUAUCUGACUGCUAUUAACACUCGACUCGGAAUACCCUCCGGUGAGUGAUCUAUUUAUAUUACCUAACCCCACGGGGUAACUCAUCGAAGACUUUGCCCGGAAUGAGAAACCAAAGAUGAAGGUGCCGUCGUACCACAUCCUACGUCGUACUGUGACACAUUCCAUGACUACCAGAGACUCCACUCGAGAAAUAGACAUAGAUUGUAACGAGACAGAGGGAAGCGUUCAUAUUACUGUAAAAUCACCUAGACUUAAAACACAACUGACUGACCUUCAGUACCAAGACAAGUUAACUAAGUAUAUACAGAGACUUAAAGGAAUAUAAAAGGACACACACUAGUAAACAUGACCUUCAAUAACAUGUACGUGGAGGUAGGUAUCGUACGGUUGUUACACUUAAUCGACUAAUCCUAAAAUAUAUAAGGAAAGUGGGAAAGAUACCAUCAAUCAUGGUACAUCAAAUAAUUUAGGUAAUAGUUCUACAUCCAAUAGGAAAACGUGCCGUACGGAUUUUCACUUAUAGUGGCAUAUCUAUACGACGAUUACAAUACUCACAAAAAAAACGUACGACUUUGACUAACAUGGUUUGGUUAGGGUCACCCUCGUGAAACACAGAUACCACCACUUAUAAAACAACACUAGUUUUGAAUAAAAUAACGAGGGUCAAACCCUUUAUAAAAAAAGUCUGUGAACUCUAUCAAAAAAAAAAUUUAUCCUCGAGUAAUAUUAAACAAAAACAGACACGUAGUCGACGAUAAAGUCAAUUACGAACCAACACGGAUCUCUUAUUGUCCCUUCAAAACAUACACCACUAGGAGUUUUGAAGGAUUAUCUAGUCACCUCAUCCUUCCGAACGUACUCAAACGUGUUGUUAGAACUUGCGAAUGGUUUGAUCGGACUAGUAUACAACUUCGUUUUUAUACAUACUGACAUCCUCAAGUCUCAUGAUGCACUUAACGAGUUCCCAGUGUGGUGUUGCUGACGAUCUCGUCCGAAGUGGAGUCCGCGAGAGGGAUUGAGAAAAUGUACAACUACUGGUGAAGUGUGUGGUUACGUACUCAGUUUACCGACCAUUGUUUAAGGGUGCAAAUUAAUCGGAAACGAAGAGGUAAAAGUUGGGGGGACCUUCACAAAGCAAGGAACUGGAGGAGAAUGACUCAUGAAUUUCCGAACCUAUACAGAGAACACUACGUCAACAUAUAACGCCUCAGAAAGAGGUAGUGGUGUAGCCGAUAGAGCCGAAAAAGAAUGGGAAAAUAGGAAAUGAUUUAUCGGGUGUAAAGUAUGAGGCUAACGUGAAAAGAUGAACAUGGGAGACUACGUGAUGUAAAAAGACCUUUCAAAAUCCUAGAAACUUAAGACGUCCGUAGGAGGAAUUGAUUAAAGACGUGGUAUCAUAUUUCAUGUUGUUCAGGAGAGUAUAAGUUAAAAGACGAGUGAUUGUUUCUGUCUCUAAUUCGAUUGGAUAAGUCUGUGGGUGUACAAGAUUCAACGGAUGAAAGAGAAUGGUGUACUGACGUUAAGAAGUUUGAUACAACGAAAAAUUAGUAGUCUCAAAAUUAUUAAAGGUCAAGACGGUCGUAUUUAAUUAAACAAAACAGUUGAUUAAUAUUUGUUGUAGUACAAUUGCACUUAAAACCAAGUGGAUGUGAGUAAGACUGUAAAAGUGGUAUUUAUAAAAUGUACGUUAACAGAAACAGCAACCAGUACCUGCCCAAACCAACACCAUGUGAACACAUGUCGGGACAUUCAAUAGUUCAUGAAACCAAAGGAUAAAAAACGUUAUAUCUUAGACAGUACUACGUAAAAGAAGACGCCAGAAUAAAUCCACUCAUGGUCGCAGAGACUUUGAAAAAGUCUUAUGUCAUUACUCCGACGUAAACAAAAGUACCGGCCGGCUACGACGCACCUAGGCCAAGUUGCUCCAGCAGCCGCUGUACGACGACCUCGCCCUCUCGUCCUAUACUAGAGAUACCGUUCAACUUUUAUCAACAACGGAUAUCGACUACCAACACCAGGAGGUUGGACCGAUAGAGAACAACGUCUUAGUCGUUUCGUUUCUUUCCUGAGUAACAACCAGAAUAACCGGGACUAGUAGGUAAGUGUUUGUUAAUGACACAUACCCUUCUGCUUAAGUUUCAUCGUGUAAAAACGCCGACACUUUACGUUGUAGUACAAACCUAUCGACUGGUUUUUCCUAGAGGAACUUUUUGACUUUAUAAAUACAUUGUGAUAUACGAGGAGAGAACCAAAAAACCUUAAUGUACUAUACAAAAAGAACAAGGAAAAGUUAUACUCCUUAUGCUUUUUUUCAUGGAACUUACUCAACAUUUAUUUUAUUUACUAAGACUUAAAUAGUUAUAACUUGCUCUGUAAACUUACACAAGUUAUCCGAUACGACUAACUGGACCCUUUACUGUUACUAUAGAAACCCUUUCGAAAUCUUUCAUAUUGAAGACGUUGUAGACAUGGAUGACGUCUAGAACGCUCAUAACUAGUCGAAGACCUUUGUCAUGCAGCUAUGGUUCUUCUACUUAUAAGAAAACACAUUUUUUGUACAGGGAAACUAACUAAACCCGCACAACGAUUUGUAACAUGACGAAGGGGUAUACUGAUGGUGGAGACUAUUUAGAGGAAAACUAAGUCAAGAUAUAAUAACAAACAAAGGUUCAUAAAGAGUGAGUCCAAAGACUAUUUACAUCAUCUACAGCCGUUGACGUUACGUCUUGUCUACUCACCACAUUCCUCCACAACGUCACCCUGUAACGUUGACGAGGGUCUAGUUAAGUUUGAGGUAAACUUACAAAAUCAAGUAGUUACGAAAACUAAUAUAAAAAAUGUAUCAUUACCCCAAUGUGAAUAAGAGCUCCGGGAUAAUUUCUCAUAAGACUUAACAUAAGUAACGAAGUACAUGGAUAAAUAUACAGAAUACUCAUAAGACUUAACAUAAUACAUAACAUGCAAUUGUUUAUGCCGUUGUACUAAUCGGACGGAACCAGACGAA